GACGAACGCUGGCGGCGUGCCUAACACAUGCAAGUCGAGCGGAGAUAGACUGAUGGUAACUGAAGUUUGUCUUAGCGGCGGACGGGUGAGUAACACGUGGGCAACCUGCCUUGGAGUGGGGGAUAACACCGGGAAAUCGGUGCUAAUACCGCAUAACAUACACAAACUGCAUGGUAAGUGUAUCAAAGGAGCAAUCCGCUUUAAGAUGGGCCCGGGCUGAUUAGCUAGUUGGUAAGGUAACGGCUUACCAAGGCGACGAUCAGUAGCCGACCUGAGAGGGUGACCGGCCACACUGGAACUGAGACACGGUCCAGACUCCUACGGGAGGCAGCAGUGGGGAAUAUUGCGCAAUGGGGAAACCCUGACGCAGCAACGCCGCGUGGAGGAAGAAGGUCUUCGGAUUGUAAACUCCUGUCUUCUGGGACGAAGUAUGACGGUACCAGAGGAGGAAGCCACGGCUAACUACGUGCCAGCAGCCGCGGUAAGGUCACGUCG
This 495-nucleotide ribosomal RNA is filed under the name uncultured bacterium. RNAcentral's name for it is "bacterial SSU rRNA". It matches the Rfam family "Bacterial small subunit ribosomal RNA", at positions 28 to 530 of the family's 1533-position model. The record is from RNAcentral.